Molecule: ribosomal RNA, 497 nt
Filed under: uncultured bacterium
Lineage: Bacteria
Description: partial 16S ribosomal RNA
Rfam family: Bacterial small subunit ribosomal RNA
Source: RNAcentral
GACGAACGCUGGCGGCGUGCCUAAUACAUGCAAGUUGAGCGCUGAAGGUUGGUACUUGUACCGACUGGAUGAGCAGCGAAUGGGUGAGUAACGCGUGGGGAAUCUGCCUUUGAGCGGGGGACAACAUUUGGAAACGAAUGCUAAUACCGCAUAAAAACUUUAAACACAAGUUUUAAGUUUGAAAGAUGCAAUUGCAUCACUCAAAGAUGAUCCCGCGUUGUAUUAGCUAGUUGGUGAGGUAAAGGCUCACCAAGGCGAUGAUACAUAGCCGACCUGAGAGGGUGAUCGGCCACAGUGGGACUGAGACACGGCCCAAACUCCUACGGGAGGCAGCAGUAGGGAAUCUUCGGCAAUAGACGAAAGGCUGACCGAGCAACGCCGCGUGAGUGAAGAAGGGUGUCGGAUCGUAAAACUCUGUUGGUAGAGAAGAACGUUGGUGAGAGUGGAAAGCUCAUCAAGUGACGGUAACUACCCAGAAAGGGACGGCUAACUACGUG